Molecule: ribosomal RNA, 410 nt
Filed under: Bacillus subtilis
Lineage: Bacteria; Bacillati; Bacillota; Bacilli; Caryophanales; Bacillaceae
Description: bacterial SSU rRNA
Rfam family: Bacterial small subunit ribosomal RNA
Source: RNAcentral
UCCUAUGGGGGGCAGCAGUAGGGAAUCUUCCGCAAUGGACGAAAGUCUGACGGAGCAACGCCGCGUGAGUGAUGAAGGUUUUCGGAUCGUAAAGCUCUGUUGUUAGGGAAGAACAAGUACCGUUCGAAUAGGGCGGUACCUUGACGGUACCUAACCAGAAAGCCACGGCUAACUACGUGCCAGCAGCCGCGGUAAUACGUAGGUGGCAAGCGUUGUCCGGAAUUAUUGGGCGUAAAGGGCUCGCAGGCGGUUUCUUAAGUCUGAUGUGAAAGCCCCCGGCUCAACCGGGGAGGGUCAUUGGAAACUGGGGAACUUGAGUGCAGAAGAGGAGAGUGGAAUUCCACGUGUAGCGGUGAAAUGCGUAGAGAUGUGGAGGAACACCAGUGGCGAAGGCGACUCUCUGGUCUGUA